Molecule: ribosomal RNA, 253 nt
Filed under: uncultured bacterium
Lineage: Bacteria
Description: partial 16S ribosomal RNA
Rfam family: Bacterial small subunit ribosomal RNA
Source: RNAcentral
UACAGAGGGGGCAAGCGUUGUUCGGAAUUCCUGGGCGUAAAGGGCGCGUAGGCGGCCCGCUAAGUCGAACGUGAAAUCCCUGGGCUCAACCCAGGAACUGCGUCCGAUACUGGCAGGCUUGAAUCCGGGAGAGGGAUGCGGAAUUCCAGGUGUAGCGGUGAAAUGCGUAGAUAUCUGGAGGAACACCGGUGGCGAAGGCGGCAUCCUGGACCGGUAUUGACGCUGAGGCGCGAAAGCGUGGGGAGCAAACAGG